This 492-nucleotide ribosomal RNA is filed under the name uncultured bacterium. RNAcentral's name for it is "partial 16S ribosomal RNA". It matches the Rfam family "Bacterial small subunit ribosomal RNA", at positions 30 to 507 of the family's 1533-position model. The record is from RNAcentral.
AGUGAACGCUGGCGGUAGGCCUAACACAUGCAAGUCGAACGGCAGCACAGUAAGAGCUUGCUCUUACGGGUGGCGAGUGGCGGACGGGUGAGGAAUACAUCGGAAUCUACUUUUUCGUGGGGGAUAACGUAGGGAAACUUACGCUAAUACCGCAUACGACCUACGGGUGAAAGCAGGGGAUCUUCGGACCUUGCGCGAUUGAAUGAGCCGAUGUCGGAUUAGCUAGUUGGCGGGGUAAAGGCCCACCAAGGCGACGAUCCGUAGCUGGUCUGAGAGGAUGGGGAGGAAGAUGGGGAGAGAGGCAGGGACCGGACUCUGGAGGGAGGAGGCAGAGGGGAAUAUGGGGCGAGGGGCGAGAGGGGGAACUGUCAAAACGGGGGGAGUGAGAAAGGAGUUAGGGUUGGGAAACCCUUUAGUUGGGAAGAAAAAACAAGAGGUGAAAACGACGAGGUAGUGACGGUACACAAAGAAUAAGCACCGGCUAACUUCGUG